RNAcentral lists this long non-coding RNA (1057 nucleotides) under Homo sapiens (human). RNAcentral describes it as "long intergenic non-protein coding RNA 158". Lineage: Eukaryota; Metazoa; Chordata; Mammalia; Primates; Hominidae. The record is from RNAcentral.
GGCACUGCUAUCAUGGGGCACUGGUAACAAAUAAAUAUCACUUUGGAGGCCAUGUGCAGAUCAGAUUUGGAAGUGACCAAGACUGGAGGCAGGGACACCAGAGUUUUCUGUUAAAAACUGGUCCAUGCAAGAAAAGAUGACUCCUGAAAUAAGACAGUGAUCAUUAGGAUGAAGAGGAAGAGAAGAUUUGAGGAAUACUUAGAACAGAAUUUACUGAAUUUACUGGUUGAAUUGAAUGUGAAGAGGAGAUGAAUAAAGAAGAAAACACCCUCAAAGGAACAAAUAUGAAACAAUCUCUGGAAAAUGGAAUUUGAUUUUGAUUCAACAACAGGAGAAUUCUACUGUUUUUCUCCAGCAGCUCCACGAUAAAAGGACAGUUGCUCUGAUUCAUUUCUGGACUUCAGUGGAAGAAGCAGCCCUUAUUUAGGAUAUUGUUAGUCUUUGGCAGAGGGAAUACAAAGCAAUGGAAGGGUGAUGUGAUGGCUCCGAAAGCUUCUGUUGGAUGUAGAAUAUAAAGUUUGCUCACCUUUUUUAAUCCAAAGAGAAAAACAAGGAGAGAAAAAUCUAAACCCAGCAGAAGAGAAAGUUUAAGAAAGCGGUCGUCGCCAAUACCAAAAUUAGCUAUGAUAUUCAGGAAGAAAAAAAUGGAAACACGAUAACCACAGUCAAUAAAGACCAAGGCCACAUUCCAUUGACCAGAGCUCAGCCACGCGCCACACCUGGCUAAAGAGACUCUGGCUGAAGAAUUCCCUGAAUAUUUUAAUGUAGCUCUAGGUUAUAACACAGAACAACCACAAGGUGGCAGAAGAACUCCAUUCUUGUAAAUCUCUUAGUUGCUUCUUUAUUUCAUCUUCCCUAUUCCAUCUAAUGUUCCCUGAAUUUUACUAUUUUGUUGGUUUGAAAAUAUGUGUGACUUACGUCCUUUAAAGGAUUUGGUUCGUAAGGUUUUGAAUAGACUGGAAUAUAAAACAUUUAUAGAAAAGAAAAAUACCUACAGUAUGAUGUUAGUGAACUAUUAAUAAUCCAAUUAAAUAAAAUAUAUUUGCUUUGGAUUAAU